Molecule: long non-coding RNA, 593 nt
Organism: Homo sapiens (human)
Lineage: Eukaryota; Metazoa; Chordata; Mammalia; Primates; Hominidae
Exons: 2
Source: RefSeq, a predicted model, not a curated record
GCGGAGCUUUUCCUUUGGCUAAAGAUAUCCUGAGGAUCUCUCUGCUCUCAAAUUACAGCUGGUUUCGUCACUUGGAAGCCAGGGAACAAGUUUGGAAAAGAACCUCUCACCAGGUCUCCACUAUUAAAGAUACUUAGCAUCAUGGAAACAUAGACCAAAGGAGUUUUCUUACUGUUUAUGCCAAGUGGAAGACCAAGGCCUAUUUUCACUCUAUCCCAGAAGAAAACUACAACUUCCUUCAGUUGAAAGACUGGACUGUUGGACUCAAGAGCUACAUUGCUUCAUUCCUUUUUCUCUGGGACAUUCAGAAAUGACAACAGAUGGAUUCAUAUUGGCUGCUUGGCCAAAGAAGCGAAGAGGAAUUUACUCUGAUUCAUUCCAUUUCUUGCACAAUCUCUCUCUGACUUACUAACCAAUUCAAUUAAGCAAACCUAUAUUAAGCACUUACUACUUGCUCCCCACUUGCAGGGUGCAGUAUUAAGGUAACUACAGACACAAAGAUGUGCAAUAAGAAGUUUCAGCCUACAAAGAGCUUGCUCCCUGGUUGAAGAGUCGGGCAUAUACCCAUAUAAAGUUAUCAUACGAAGGGUGAA